RNAcentral lists this ribosomal RNA (492 nucleotides) under uncultured bacterium. Its description in RNAcentral is "partial 16S ribosomal RNA". It matches the Rfam family "Bacterial small subunit ribosomal RNA", at positions 29 to 507 of the family's 1533-position model. The record is from RNAcentral.
AGUGAACGCUGGCGGUAGGCCUAACACAUGCAAGUCGAACGGCAGCACAGUAAGAGCUUGCUCUUACGGGUGGCGAGUGGCGGACGGGUGAGGAAUACAUCGGAAUCUACUUUUUCGUGGGGGAUAACGUAGGGAAACUUACGCUAAUACCGCAUACGACCUACGGGUGAAAGCAGGGGAUCUUCGGACCUUGCGCGAUUGAAUGAGCCGAUUUCGGAUUAGCUAGUUGGCGGGGUAAAGGCCCACCAAGGCGACGAUCCGUAGCUGGUCUGAGAGGAUGAUCAGCCACACUGGAACUGAGACACGGUCCAGACUCCUACGGGAGGCAGCAGUGGGGAAUAUUGGACAAUAGGCGCAAGCCUGAUCCAGCCAUACCGCGUGGGUGAAGAAGGCCUUCGGGUUGUAAAGCCCUUUUGUUGGGAAAGAAAAGCAGCAGGUUAAUACCCCGCUGUUCUGACGGUACCCAAAGAAUAAGCACCGGCUAACUUCGUG